Molecule: microRNA precursor, 63 nt
Filed under: Oreochromis niloticus (Nile tilapia)
Lineage: Eukaryota; Metazoa; Chordata; Actinopteri; Cichliformes; Cichlidae
Description: microRNA oni-mir-10717 precursor
Source: miRBase by way of RNAcentral
CACGGAUGCACACACAUGCACUUUGUAUGCAGUUCUAAAAGCGCAUGGUGUGCUCUGUCCACA